AUGACGUGGCAGGGAGAGAGAGUGGCUAGCCUUGACUGGCCUAAAGCCAUUGUGGAUGCUCUUAGGCUAUGAGUUGUGCAUCAGAUCCUUGAAUUCUGCAUAUUUCUCUAUCAUUUUCUACAACUUGCUUCUUUGUUCUCUUGUGUUUACACUUAAUUGUCUCUGUGGGAUACGAUAUACUCUUGUUUGUUGUUUGCUACGAUAACCCCGUACACUUGCGGGUAUUAUUUGAGUAAAAUAAAGUUGAGUCCGGGACGGAGUGACAUUUUGUUAUU
Salvia hispanica is the source of this 275-nucleotide non-coding RNA. NCBI's taxonomy places the organism in Eukaryota, Viridiplantae, Streptophyta, Magnoliopsida, Lamiales, Lamiaceae. The record is from RefSeq and is a predicted model, not a curated record.